RNAcentral lists this ribosomal RNA (500 nucleotides) under uncultured bacterium. Its description in RNAcentral is "partial 16S ribosomal RNA". It matches the Rfam family "Bacterial small subunit ribosomal RNA", at positions 30 to 523 of the family's 1533-position model. The record is from RNAcentral.
AUUGAACGCUGGCGGAAUGCUUUACACAUGCAAGUCGAACGGCAGCACGGACUUCGGUCUGGUGGCGAGUGGCGAACGGGUGAGUAAUGUAUCGGAACGUGCCCAGUCGUGGGGGAUAACGUAGUGAAAAUUACGCUAAUACCGCAUACGAUCUAUGGAUGAAAGCGGGGGAUCGCAAGACCUCGCGCGAUUGGAGCGGCCGAUAUCAGAUUAGGUAGUUGGUGGGGUAAAGGCCCACCAAGCCAACGAUCUGUAGCUGGUCUGAGAGGACGACCAGCCACACUGGAACUGAGAGACGGUCCAGACUACGACGGGAGGCAGCAGUGGGGAAUUUUGGACAAUGGGCGAAAGCCUGAUCCAGCCAUUCCGCGUGCAGGAUGAAGGCCCUCGGGUUGUAAACUGCUUUUGUACAGAACGAAAAGGUUUCUACAAAUACUAGGAGCUCAUGACGGUACUGUAAGGAUAAGCACCGGCUAACUACGUGCCAGCAGCCGCAGUAA